CUGGAAUUCAGAGAUAUCCUAUAGUUUGGAGCGGCAAUACUCCAUUGAUGAUGGAUUUUAUACAAGAAGAGUCAGACCAACUGUAAUCGCGGUUUGGUAUAGCAUCCUCCGACACUGGGAGAGACGUUCUGACAAGUUCAGAAACCUGAGAAAACCAUCAAGCUUCCACUCUGGGGGUGCUCAGAGAGCAAAAGAAUCAGGCACAAGAAAGAAAAUUCUUGAUCCCCAGGGGCCUUUUCUCCAGAAAUGGAACAAAAUAUUUGUGCUAGCCUGCGUGGUUGCUGUGUCCAUAGACCCCUUGUUCUUUUACAUUCCGGUGAUUGAUGGCAGCAACAAAUGCCUUGAUUUGGACAAAAAAAUGGAAACUACUGCUUGUGUUCUUCGAACCCUCAUCGAUGUUUUUUAUAUACUUCGUAUAAUUUUUCAAUUCCGUACGGGGUUUAUUGCCCCUUCCUCCCGUGUAUUUGGAAGAGGCGAGCUGGUUGAGGAUCCUAGCAUUGUCGCUAGAAGAUACAUGACCUCCAACUUCAUCAUUGAUGUCCUAUCAAUUCUUCCACU
This 558-nucleotide unclassified non-coding RNA is filed under the name Hevea brasiliensis (rubber tree). Lineage: Eukaryota; Viridiplantae; Streptophyta; Magnoliopsida; Malpighiales; Euphorbiaceae. The record is from RNAcentral.